CCUACGGGGGGCUGCAGUGGGGGAUAUUGGACAAUGGGGGAAACCCUGAUCCAGCGACGCCGCGUGAGUGAAGAAGUAUUUCGGUAUGUAAAGCUCUAUCAGCAGGGAAGAAAGAAAUGAUGGUACCUGAGUAAGAAGCCCCGGCUAACUACGUGCCAGCAGCCGCGGUAAUACGUAGGGGGCAAGCGUUAUCCGGAAUUACUGGGUGUAAAGGGAGCGUAGACGGUAAUGCAAGUCUGGAGUGAAAGGCGGGGGCUCAACCCCCGGACUGCUCUGGAAACUGUGUAACUGGAGUGCAGGAGAGGCAGGCGGAAUUCCUAGUGUAGCGGUGAAAUGCGUAGAUAUUAGGAGGAACACCAGUGGCGAAGGCGGCCUGCUGGACUGUAACUGACGUUGAGGCUCGAAAGCGUGGGGAGCAAACAGGAUUAGAUACCCGGGUAGUC
This 443-nucleotide ribosomal RNA is filed under the name uncultured bacterium. Its description in RNAcentral is "partial 16S ribosomal RNA". It matches the Rfam family "Bacterial small subunit ribosomal RNA", at positions 338 to 795 of the family's 1533-position model. The record is from RNAcentral.